Long non-coding RNA from Melanotaenia boesemani (Boeseman's rainbowfish), 779 nucleotides. RefSeq lists it as uncharacterized. Lineage: Eukaryota; Metazoa; Chordata; Actinopteri; Atheriniformes; Melanotaeniidae. The record is from RefSeq and is a predicted model, not a curated record. The transcript has 4 exons.
UACAGGUAAACUACAGGUGUUCUACAGGUAAACUACAGGUGUUCUACAGGUAAACUACAGGUGUUCUACAGGUAAAGUACAGGUAAACUACAGGUGUUCUACAGGUGUUCUACAGGUAAAGUACAGGUAAAGUACAGGUGUUCUACAGGUAAAGUACAGGUGUUCUACAGGUAAACUACAGGUGUUCUACAGGUAAACUACAGGCGUUCUACAGGCAAACUACAGGUGUUCUACAGGUAAAGUACAGGUAAACUACAGGUGUUCUACAGGUAAACUACAGGUGUUCUACAGGUAAACUACAGGUGUUCUACAGGUAAAGUACAGGUAAACUACAGGUGUUCUACAGGUAAAGUACAGGUAAAGUACAGGUGUUCUACAGGUAAACUACAGAUAAACACAGGUGAAUUACGAGUUUACAUGUUAACAUGUUUUUUAGGUCCAGCAGGUGUUAAACGUCUCCAGCUGGUUUUGCCCUGUAGCUGAUGGUAUUUUUCAUGUACUUUUCUAAUUGGACUGAUUCCAACAGGACGUCCAGGUGUUGUUAAGAAAUUCAGAGGUCAGGAUAGGUGAAGAGGACAGGUGACCUUAUCAGGAGGUGUUCAUUUGGCUGUGAAACCACUUGUUUGUCUCUAACAUCUGUCUAUCCAUCUGUCUGUCCGUCCCUGUGAGUCUGAUUCCUGCAGUAUGAAUGUUUUCCAGACUGCCGCUGCUCCUUCACACUGAUUUAGUCUGACUGUAGAAAGAAGUGAAAAUCUGUCGCAUGUAAAACAUGAUUUUUC